Molecule: ribosomal RNA, 392 nt
Filed under: uncultured bacterium
Lineage: Bacteria
Description: partial 16S ribosomal RNA
Rfam family: Bacterial small subunit ribosomal RNA
Source: RNAcentral
AUACGGAGGAUCCGAGCGUUAUCCGGAUUUAUUGGGUUUAAAGGGUGCGCAGGCGGCCGUUUAAGUCAGCGGUUAAAUCGUGGGGCUCAACCCCAUUCUGCCGUUGAUACUGGGUGGCUUGAUUGCGGUCGAGGUUGGCGGAAUUCGUUGUGUAGCGGUGAAAUGCAUAGAUAUGACGAAGAACACCGAUUGCGUAGGCAGCUGACCAGACCGCAAAUGACGCUCAUGCACGAAAGUGCGGGGAUCGAACAGGAUUAGAUACCCUGGUAGUCCGCACAGUAAACGAUGAAUACUUGUUUUCGGCGAUAUAAUGUCGGAGGCAAAGCGAAAGCGAUAAGUAUUCCACCUGGGGAGUACGCCGGCAACGGUGAAACUCAAAGGAAUUGACGGGG